This is a long non-coding RNA of Brienomyrus brachyistius, 2215 nucleotides long. RefSeq lists it as uncharacterized. The record is from RefSeq and is a predicted model, not a curated record. NCBI's taxonomy places the organism in Eukaryota, Metazoa, Chordata, Actinopteri, Osteoglossiformes, Mormyridae. The transcript is spliced from 3 exons.
CCCCACCAAAAUAACAGGCAGGCACAGCAGCUGCAGUAUUCCUAGCAACAGCUGGUAGAGCGAGGAAUGCAGGAUUCCGGUGGAUGUGCAGGAAAAACAGUAAACACCCACCAGUUGUGCUGUGAAUUAAACAGAUUCCUGCAUAUACUGGGAACAUCUGGACAUCAGUGCUGGGAUUCGGUUAGUUGUUGGUUUAUGGGGCAGUUAAAUAUACCUUUUACUUGUCCUUUGAGGCUGUUUACUAUUGGUACAACAUUUUCCUGUUAGAAGGAAAAGCAAUUUCGGAAAAAUUAGUGCUGCUUUAAAUCUAUCACUGAUCUCUUUUUUUUUGCCUAAAUAUGAUUGAAUCGCCGUAAGCCCUGUAAACUUCAUAACGACAUUCAGUAAUGGAAAACGUGACGUAAAUAUUUUUGCAUUAAAACUUAGGAAAUCUUUGAACGCCUCUGAGAAUGUCUUAUUUGUUUUAGUAAUUUAAUCUCCCUAGAGUAACGUACACUACGUUUUAUUCCGGUUUCCUUUUUCUAAACGGUAUGAUAACGUAAUCAUCUUGAUGCAAAACUUCGCCGAGCCCAUCUCAGCGGCACCGAAGACUGUAGAUGGUGGAGUUUGCAGAUGAGGGUGAAGGACUGUAAGGCUAUGUGACGUUAUUGUCGAGCACCGCAAGGGGUUGGAUUAGCAUGUCCCGUCGAUCUAUUUUAUUGCCUUAGAUGAUGCGGUGUAAGGCAGCGCCUGGUAAUUACUCUAAUUUAGCAAAUUUUUAUGCCUCAUUUGUAAUCUAAUUGAAGAAAUAUGCCUACAGUGGCACGCAAAACAGGAUACAAAUUGUUUAUGCAUCGUGAUCCUCAUAUCUGAAAGUUUUGAGCACUUUAUUGCAGACUGAGAGAACAUUUUUCUGAAACAUUUGUGCAAUGAAAGUCCAUUACAAUGACUACAUGGAGAGUGACAUCUGUUGUGUAAAAAAAAUCACUUUAAUUGGCCGGUAGCAUUGUGGGAAAAUCUCCGUUCAAAAUGUUAUUAGCCUGAAUGCUGAGAUAAAAACAAGAUACAGUGAAGGUCAAUAGCGUUCUGUGUGCUUCACCUGUCUGUGGACAGGAACAUGUAUGAUAGGGUUAGGCCAAUCUGCAGUGGUCAUGUGCUCCUGUGUCUACAGCUGAAUGAAAGUGAUCAGCUUCUCCAGCAGUUACUGAGUCUUACACAGUGAUCUGGCACGUCCUUCUGUUCAUCCUGUUAGAAGGCCUGUCUGGGACAGCCCUGUGAAGAUAUUUGGACAGAAAGUCCAGUUGGGAGAACCCUAUGAAGUUAGGUUGACAGACAGCCUGUCUGGGACAGCCCUGUGAAGAUAUUUGGACAGAAGGUCCAGUUGGGAGAACCCUAUGAAGUUAGGUUGACAGACAGCCUGUCUGGGACAGCCCUGUGAAGAUAUUUGGACAGAAGGUCUAGUUGGGAGGACCCUAUGAUGCCAGUAGGCCAAAUGGCCUGGUUCAGGCAGCUGUGUGGCACAGAAGGCAGGCUUGGGACAGCGCUUUGAUGGUGCAUCUCCGAUACAGCAAAUAGGUCAGGUCCUUCAAGCAGCCUAACUGCCGCAUCCAAAGGAAUGUUUAUAUGGAACUUACAUUUUUAAAAGAAUUGGAGUGUCUUGAACGACUCUUGUCAGAGCUCAGUUCAUAUCAGGCAAGGGUGAAUUUGAGGACCUUCUUGUAGAGGAGCAGUCUCACAUUCCUGCAGAUACUCUUCUUUUCUGACUUCCCAUUUGUUAAUUGAACUCAGAACCUCACAGUCGUACUCUUUGAUAUGAUUUGGCUUCGAUUUUUUUCCGCAUUAAUUUUUAAUCGUUUUUUUUUAUGGCAGGCUAUGUUCUUUUUAUAAACUGGAAUGCCUUUGAUUUGGCUGGAUUCAUUUCUGGCUCGGUGGGCAACCAUGGUACCGCUAAGAAUCUGAAAGUGCAGUGUGCCAGCGUCCCUCAAACAUUUUCUGGGUUCUGUUCCUCCUUUCUGUUUUGGAUUUUUGACAUUCCUGCUGUUUGCAUCUUUAUUUUCCCUACACAGAUAUAAAAAAAUAGCUAAAAUCUGCCAUUGGACACCUAAUGAGGUCAACCUUUCCCCUUGGGAUAAACAAAACUAUCUAUCUAUCUAUCUAUCUAUCUAUCUAUCUAUCUAUCUAUCUAUCUAUCUAUCUAUCUAUCUAUCUAUCUAUCUGCCUGCCUGCCUGCCUGCCU